UCUCCGUAGGUGAACCUGCGGAGGGAUCAUUACCGAGUGAGGGUUUCGGCCCGACCUCCAACCCUUUGUGAACCAAACCUGUUGCUUCGGGGGCGACCCUGCCGUUCGCGGCGCGGCGCCCCCGGAGGACUUCCAACCCUGCAUCAUUGCGUCGGAGUAUUUUUUGUAAAUCUAAACAAAACUUUCAACAACGGAUCUCUUGGUUCUGGCAUCGAUGAAGAACGCAGC
RNAcentral lists this unclassified non-coding RNA (228 nucleotides) under uncultured fungus. RNAcentral describes it as "sequence contains ITS1, 5.8S rRNA gene". The stretch from base 180 to 228 matches the Rfam family "5.8S ribosomal RNA", at positions 1 to 49 of the family's 154-position model. Lineage: Eukaryota; Fungi. The record is from RNAcentral.